RNAcentral lists this ribosomal RNA (544 nucleotides) under uncultured bacterium. RNAcentral describes it as "bacterial SSU rRNA". It matches the Rfam family "Bacterial small subunit ribosomal RNA", at positions 9 to 526 of the family's 1533-position model. The record is from RNAcentral.
GAGUUUGAUCCUGGCUCAGAAUGAACGCUGGCGGCGUGCUUAACACAGCAAGUCGCACGAGAACUCUUUAGCUUGCUAAAGAUAGUAAAGUGGCGCACGGGUGAGUAACGCGUGGGUAAUCUGCCUUCAAGCCCGGAAUAACUCCGCGAAAGCGGUGCUAAUACCGGAUGACGUCCCGGAGACCCCGGUCCCCGGGACCAAAGGUGGCCUCUCCAUGGAAGCUACCGUUUGAAGAGGAGCCCGCGUACCAUUAGCUUGUUGGUAGGGUAACGGCCUACCAAGGCGACGAUGGUUAGCUGGUCUGAGAGGAUGAUCAGCCACACUGGAACUGACACACGGUCCAGACUCCUACGGGAGGCAGCAGUGAGGAAUUUUGCGCAAUGGGGGAAACCCUGACGCAGCAACGCCGCGUGAGUGAUGAAGGCCUUCGGGUCGUAAAGCUCUGUCAAGUGGGAAGAACCUGUGCCGUGCGAACAACACGGCGCACUGACGGUACCACUGAAGGAAGCACCGGCUAACUCCGUGCCAGCAGCCGCGGUAAUAC